This 944-nucleotide long non-coding RNA is filed under the name Anser brachyrhynchus (Pink-footed goose). Its description in RNAcentral is "lncRNA (ENSABRG00000004375.1)". Lineage: Eukaryota; Metazoa; Chordata; Aves; Anseriformes; Anatidae. The record is from RNAcentral.
UGAGGACUGGUCUGACAAAGCUCCUCACUUUGCCCUCACUUUUCUCCUGGGCCUGCUGCAGCAGAAAGGCACAUGGUGAGACCUGGGUGUGCUUCUAGGGGUGUGUCCUGCCUAACCUGCACCUUCCUGGCAGCAGGGCUGCCCUUGGGACAGCACUCAGUGGUGUUUGUCACCUUCUGUGCGGAUUGGUGGCCUGGCGAGGCAUUGAGGGCUGCAGUAAAUAGCUCUGGAGUAAGUGCAGAUGGAGUGGGACAUGAAAAGUACAACUUGUUACUGAAUUACACAGGGAAUAUGGAGGAAUAAAAGGUAGAUGAACUCUUCAACAACCUGAAUCAUGUUCCACAUCUUUCUGGAGAAUUUGCAUGUGGUUGCAAUUUUCUCAUAGCAACUGCUCUUCAGGAGCAAUUUCUUCCCUCUUUGCCUGUUUAUGCUUUAGGAAUCCUGGCUUCAACUCUGUUGCAGUCAUUGAUUAUCUUCUCUGGUUUCGAUGGGGUAAGGGUGUGAUAGCACUGUGCCUAAUGUGCCAAAUGCUGCUCAAGGAAUAUGCCUUAGACCAUGCAAACAACAAAAGAUAAACCUUGACCCCACUGACUGGUCAGGACUUGGCAUUUCACUCCUGGUUUACCUUGUCCUCUUUAGCAUAAUUCCAGCUUUGGAGCCCCACACAAGACUUUGCUGCUGCUUCUUAUUCCUUCUUCAUACAUCUUUUGGGAGGUGGAGUUGAACUCCCUUCCAUCAAAAGCAUAUGGUUUCUGGGUUGGAUACUCAGACUAAAGCUUCAUGCUGGUUAACAGUGUACUGAUAAUUGUAUAUGUGCAUAUAUAUAAAUAUAUAACUUUCUAUGUGAUCUUUACAUACAUACUUAUUAAUUUUAUAUGUAUGUAUAAGUCUAGAAAUAAGAUAUAUCACAUAGCCUGCACUCUGGAGAUUAGCUUGAAAUAAAU